UACGGAGGAUGCAAGCGUUAUCCGGAAUGAUUGGGCGUAAAGGGUGCGCAGGCGGGUUCAUAAGUCAGGGGUGAAAUCCCGAGGCUCAACCUCGGAACUGCCUUUGAUACUGUGGAUCUUGAGUCCGGAAGAGGUGAGUGGAACUGCGAGUGUAGAGGUGAAAUUCGUAGAUAUUCGCAAGAACACCGGUGGCGAAGGCGGCUCACUGGUCCGGAACUGACGCUGAGGCACGACAGCGUGGGGAGCAAACAGG
RNAcentral lists this ribosomal RNA (253 nucleotides) under uncultured bacterium. RNAcentral's name for it is "partial 16S ribosomal RNA". It matches the Rfam family "Bacterial small subunit ribosomal RNA", at positions 524 to 776 of the family's 1533-position model. The record is from RNAcentral.